UACUGUAUACAAAUGAUGAGACAACAAUCAUCAAAAAGCAUAAGGGCUAAGGAAGUGGAGAAUCUACAAAGCCAUUCCCGUAUCAUUUUAUGCUCAAUUUUUAACUAUAUUGUUGGUAUUAUUGCUAGCAUCAACAAAAUUUAGGAAGGUCUACAGGCAGCUGAAGCAUGCUAAAGGCUUAGCCUAUAGAGAUCCAUUGCAAGCCCAAUCAAGGCAAAGGAUGAAUGAAUAAGUAUGAGACAAGCUCCGGCAUGUUUAAGUUCAGUCAACUUUAUAAAUUAUGUAAUUGAUAAUAAUUAGGAAUGAGCUGGCAUCAACUACCAUAUGAAAGGAUGUAGAGAUUGCAAGAGGUUAAAAGAAAAGAAAACCAGCUGCUACAAGUAAAGAUUCUUCGUAGGAAAGAAAGUACAGGACUGAGGCUUGGAUAUCUAAAAGAAGGGUGCUGCACAAUGCAGAAGACAGAUUUAUGCAGGUUUUGUAGGAAAAUCAACUAUCAGAUUGAUAGGCCCUUUCCUCUUUUCUCAUCCAUUGUCUCUUCAACUUUCUUCUUUCUUCUUUCUUAUACUCUUAUCUUUCACCAAUUUUUUCGAAAUCCUUGGUUUCCUCGGAUCAAGCAAUUAUAUACUAUCCCCAACAAUGCCAUUUUCUGAUGGAAAUCAAAUUGAACUACAUUAAGAAAUGUUCCCAUCUGAUAAAACACACUCUUUGACACUGUCCGGUGGCUUCUCCAAGGACCAUUAAGUAACAUAACUUUCUAAUCUUAUUCUCCAUUUUUUGUAUUCCAACUUGCCUGAAGGCAUUAAUAUCAUAUCAAAAUAUUUCCUGAAGUCAGGUUCUUCAAGCUGGAAGUACUGACUGGGAAAGCAAAGAUCAUUAAGUUGGAUCUUCUUGGACAAACUUCAGCCCAGACUUUUCUAAAAUUGUAAUGUUAUUUUCCAACCUUGACUGGAUAUAUUUUGGCCCAAAGAGAACAUGAAAACCAUGGCACCAGGUUCACAUAGUGCUUAUAGCUAGAGACUAAAUGGUAAGCCAUCAGUGAAAUUUAGAAAUAAUCCUAGAGCAUAGGUACUUUGAUUCUUGAGGGACACAUUUAUUGGAUAAGUUCAUCGUCGAAAUACACUGACUAACAACAAUUAUGUGCAAACAUAGUUAUGUACGAUUGCAUUAAUGAAGAACAAAAUACCAAUGAAGAUAAGACAUCAGGGGAUUCUUAUGCUACAUGCAAAUAAAGAACACAUAGCAAGGUCUCUAAGGAGACAUACUAAUGUUAGUGCAUUGUGUUUGCAGUCAAAAGGUCUCAGGGGUUUAAGUCCCAUUGUUUGCAUCUAGCGUGCAACACUCUGUAAUGCUUAUAUAGCUAAAGGCAAGAACAUAUAGUAAGGCAUAUAAUAGAAUGCCAAACUCAUGGAAGGGAGAACUCAAGAAAGGGAAAUAUAAAGCAAUGAUUCUGAUGACAGUUCUCUGCGCUAAAAACCUUUCAUCAAGUUACCUAUGCAUUUAGGAUUCAUUAGCAACCAAAAUCAUGACUACUUCAUCUCAGGUUUCUGAUAGAUUAGGUGCUCCCAAAACAAUCACUCCAGAUCUUUAUACUACCAACAAACGAAGUAAUAUGAAGGCAACAUAACAGCAAAAAUUUCUAAAGGGAAGAAUAAGAGGCAAAGGAACAGAACAAAAAAAAGGUGGGCAGAACUCAAAACCUGUAUUAUUUUAUAGAAACAUAUAAAAUAUCUUUCUAAUAUGGUGUUAAGUAUCAGGUUUAAAGCAUUAAUAUAGUCUCAUCACUCUGAACCACUUUAUGAGGGAUAUGUCCUCUCAAAGCACACAUUAGCAAAGGCCAUAUACUCUGAACUAAAGAAGUUAUCAACAAGCAGCCAUUUGUUAUCACACCCCAGUAUGAAGUUCAAAAUCUGGGUUGCAAGAAAGGAAACUAUUUAAAGAAACAGGCAAACGACAUCAUCCUCAUACAAUAAGAAAUGAAAACCACAGUAGGUUUAGUCCCAUUUCCAGAAUGCAGUUGUGCAAAUAUGUGAUUCUUCCUAAUCAGAGUAUAAAAGCAAUACUAUCUGCCAAUAAGACUGUGGAAUCAGAAGACAAACAAUCAUCAUGUAUAACUAAAGCAAUAAUAAUAAUAAUAAUAAUAAUAAUAGACAGACAAGAAAUAAAAAGUUAAAAUAAAAAGGAAUUUAUACCAAUCAAAAUUCAUUGUGCAUCACAAUUCACAUCUUCCGCUUCUACCUGUGAAUCUGUCACACUCUUAACUGUCGUUUGCACACCAAGACCGUCUUUGUUCUCAUUACCAUCAUCAAAUCCAUGACCUCGAUCAUAACUUCUGUAGUCUCUACUGAAAUAGGGAGGAUAUGUAUGGAAAUCUACCAUUCUUUUUGAAAUAUUCCAUGUGUUCCUAGGACUAUGAAGAAGGCACCCAUGUCCAAUCCCAUACAAACCACCGUUAUUAUAUCCUCCUCCAUAUAGUCCACCAUAAAGAUAAGGAGAAAAAGGUGUUGUUACAUAAUUAGGAUAUCCAUAAUAUGGAUGCAUAUAACCUUGAUAGGUGCCAUAAACAGGCCAUCUUUCACAUUGUCCACCAAAAGCACUUACAUUGUAAUAAUUCUCACUAUUUCUAUUAUUUGUACAAUCACUGUAAUCCUUGGGGACUGCAAUCUUAACCUCUACAAGUUUCCCAUUCAACUUAUGGUGUCUAUUCUUUAGUACUGCCGCCACAGGCUCCUCUGAAGAAAAUGUGAUGAAGCCAAAACCUCUUGGACGUUGAGUGGCACUGUCAUACAUGACAACUGUAUCAACGACAGAACCAAACUUCUCAAAAUAACUCUUAAGCUCCUGGUGUGUGACAUCGCCUGCUAAACCUCCUAUGAAAAUCUUUUUCGAAUUUAUGUGGCUGCCAUUUUGCUUGCCACUAUUACCAGUGAUCCUACUUGAACCACUGGAUCCUCCAUCCUGAUGUGCAUUCCGGGAUUGUUGGUUUUGGCGUUGCUCACCUCUCGGUAUGGCUCUUUUCACUUCAACCUGAGAAAUAUCACAGAAAAUAACUACAAAUUAACAACUGAGACCCACAGGAACCGAGGGGGCCACCAACAAGAAAAAAUAAAAAUUAUUACUCCUAAUAUUACUUUUCCUAGAAGAAAAAACAAAUGAACAGGCCAAAUUGUUAAUUGUUGAGAUGAAGCGAGGAAAUAGAAACAGAACAUAUAUGUGAAAACACCUUGGUUAAAUAGAAAACAGUGAACACUUUACUUUGAUGGAAUCAGUAACAAAGAAACAAGACAAGCUCUCUCUCUCUCUCUCUCUUCUCUUCUCUUCGAAGAGCAAAAGGUACAACAGACAUGAGAAGGAACAAACGUCGAUUAACUUGCUAAAUAUAAAGCCUAAGGAUCAUUUUUUAAGACCUGGGACAACAAAAUAUAGAAAGCAUAGGAAACUUCCCCCAAUUCAAAUCUCACAGUAAAAAUGUAAAAAAGGAAUGAAACAGGCACACGUUGAAGUAAAUUUUAGUUCGUUUCGUGUCCACUUCUUGAAGUACUAUGCAAAGUAAAGAACUGAGAAAAGAAAACGAUGGAGCACUAACUGUUCUUCCAUGAAUGACAUGCUUCGCUUCCUUGAGCGCGCGCUCGGGGCCCUCCAAAUUCGCGAACUGCACGAAGCCGAAGCCUCUCCCGCUCCCGGUGACCCGGUUCCUCAACACCACCACCUCCUUCACCUCGCCGUACCUCUCGAAGUGCUCCGCCAGCGUCUCCUCCCUCGUGUCCGACGAGAUGCCACCGACAAACAGCCUCCCCCCGUCCCAUGCCGACGCCGCCAAGGACGUCCCAGAGGUUAGUGUCGACGACGACAGCGACUCCAUCUCCUCUCCUCCGCCUGUGCUAGCUCGCUUGCUCUCUGUUGUUUUUAGGGUUCUUUGGAACCCUAACGAGGAGGUUUGAAUUAAGCGACGGAUAUAUUAUCUUGUUGAAAAGGGUACACUAACUUGAAACGGACGGUGGAUGGAUUAUAAGUACUCAUCUUGGGAGAUCUGGACCGUUCAUAUCCCUUAAUAGGGUUUAUAUCCCGUAUUCUUCCGUCUCUAUGACAUAAUUACGAGACGUAUUUACCUAUCGAUCCUUUCCAAGUCUCAAAAUAACUUUCUUACCCUUACAUUUUUCCCGUUAUAACGAUAACGGCUGUUAGUGUGGGCCCCGACAAGACCCGUUAUGUUGCCGGGUCGGGCUAACACAGGGUUCGGAUGCCGCUGGUAGAUCCGAAACCCAUCCAAAAGAUCCGAAAGUGUCACGGAGAACACUGGAGGAUUCGGUGGUCGCAUCCACCCGUCAAAGUCUUCCGUUCUCGGUUUACAUUCCUCUCGAUUUCUCAUCGGUUCCAAUCUCUUCCCUCGACUCCCUUCCCAGCUUUUGCCGCUCGAAUCAGGUACUGAUUCGCUCUGCCUUCUUGCGUUCGAUCGAUCUUCUUUUUCGCGUUGAUUUUAUUCGAUAAAAGUUUCGUCUUUGCCCCCUUUCCCUCGUUCGAGAUCGCUUUUUGUUUGUGUGUUGUUGAUUCGAACCUAGAAUGAUUAUUUUGUUUCCUUCUUUUCUUUCGCUGUUUUUAUCCGAUCUAAGAAGACCUUGUUUUCGACCGGUUACAUUCUGAUCUCCGACUCGUUGAUAUUUUGCUAGGGUUUGGUUCGCUUUCCUUUAUAUGUAUAGUUCUUGAUCAUAUCUGCAGCGGUCGCACGCUUGUCCAUUGAGAAUUGUGCGGCCAAUUGGUUUUACAUUUGGGGGUUUUGUUAGGGUUUGGUUUGUAAUUGUUGGUCGUUUGUUUCCCAAAUUCCUCCUGUCAUAUCUGCCUCUACCUCCAUAGGUAUUGAUCUAUGCGAGAAUUUUCUCUUCUCUAGAUUGUUCUUGGCAUAGUUUGUACAACUACGCUGCCUUAAGGCAUCCAUGACCUGAUGUACCACUAAUUGGAUUCAGUUUCCUUUCCUUUUCUGUGUUGGCUAAACUGAUCCUGGAAAUUAAAGGCUAAUUUUUGGGGUUUUGUUUGCUAAAGUAUCUAACUUAUACUGGGUUUGACUCCUUUUUGAUCUUUCCUUUUUCUCUCCUUUUGCAAGUUUUGAUUUUGCCUCUACACCGAUGGCCAGUGGGUUUGGGGAGUCGUCAUCCGGUAGAGCCCCGCAAAGCUCUUCUUUUGGCGGAAGCAGUAGCAACAAUGAUGCUGGUAGCUUUGAAUGCAACAUCUGCUUUGAGCUGGCCCAGGACCCUGUGGUCACCCUCUGUGGUCACCUGUUCUGCUGGCCCUGCCUUUACAAAUGGCUUCAUGGCCAUGCCCAAUCUUCCGAAUGCCCUGUCUGCAAGGCCAUCAUUGAAGAAGAGAAGUUAGUCCCCCUAUAUGGCCGGGGGAAGAAUGCUACGGAUCCACGGUCCAAAUCCACACCUGGUAUGAACAUUCCCAACCGCCCAGCUGGGCAGAGGCCAGCGACGGCACCCCCGCCAGACCCGAACAAUUUUCACCAUGCAAACCCAUGGUUCAUGGGUGGAGCCCCUGUGGCUGGUACUAGGUUCGGGAACUACACAUUUUCUGCUGCUAUCGGUGGCUUGUUCCCACUUUUGAGCUUUCAGGUCCAUGGAUUCCCGGAUGCUACUACUUAUGGUCAUGGUGCCGGCUUCCCCUAUGGGUAUGGCAAUGCAUUUCAUGGUGGGCAUGCUCAUGGAUUCCCACGGCAUGUGCAUCAGGGACAGCAGGUCGAUAUGUAUCUGAAGGCACUAUUACUUCUCAUCGGUGCUCUGGUAAUCGCCAGCCUUGUUUGGUUUUAGAAAGUUUGUAAUAGUCGUCUUGCUGAAUGCUGAUAUUGUUGAAAACCUGAAAGAAUUAUAUUUCACACAAAAAGGGUGUUUGCAUUUGUAGAAAUGCAAUUCAGAAUGUUAGUUGGUGGCUACUUUCGCAUUGAAUUGUUAAUAAAAUGUUGCAUUGAUGCAGUCUGUUGACCGCAAUGCAAUAAUUGGUCAUGUACUGAUGGAUUGACUUCCAUGGGAUAGCAUUCAAAAUAUGUAUCCACUCUAAUGGUCAAGUUUAAUUUUCUUUCCUGCUCUCAUACAUUAGAUAAUUCAUGAGGCAUAAAGUUUUAUGUAGAUCUGACUCGUGGCAAGUCAUUGGAUUUUCUCUAUUAUAUAAGAGUUGUGGAUCUGUAGAGAUCUGAAUGUGAGUUCAGUUUCAGACAAAGAUGAGCUUUCACUGGUUUGUGGUCAGAGCUCUUGAUGUAAUCAAUGGAUUCAUAAGAGUUCAAGAUUGCAUCAAUACCAUGAUCAUGCUCAACCUUGAACAAGAUUCUGUCAGUCCUUGCAGGAACCCUAAUCUGAGAGGAAGACACAAAGAAAACAACCUUGGCAUGUUACUACACUGUGUCUUCUGCUCAAAACAAGCACCAUAAAUCACUCACCUUGCAGCUUGUGUCAUAGUUGUUACUAUCAACAUUAGAUUUGUAUGUGGGCUUGUAGCAACUGAUCUUUGCCAUUGAGCACCUGUGGUAUAUGUUAAACAUGAACCAUGAGAAUGCUAUGAUCUCAGCCACCAUGUUUCCUGCUGGUAUCAAAGCUACAAUUUAACCUGCUUUGAGCUGUUGACAUGGCUGAAGAAGAAAGAGUUGCAGAUCUUAAUUACAGUGGUAGGAAGAUGAGGGUGUAUGCUUACCCUGUGAAGGUUCUUGUGGAUAAGGCUUCUUCCAGGCAUUGUGUCUUUAUCCCCUGUAUUCUGUUGUUGAGGUCUCCCAGCCACCCUGUGACAUGAUAUGGCCCUGCAUGCUGAAGCUGAUCCUUGGAGAGGAGUGAAUGGGAGAUGUGACUGCACUUCGAGUUCCUCUCCUCUACAUUCCUUGCACUCCUUUCACUGCUUCUGUUGCAAUCCUUUGGCAAGGUGAUCCAUGGAAAAUGGAACUCACAACAAUAAAUUUCUCCAAAGAUGGCCAUCAAAAUUUGUCAGAGAUUAAACUUUUAUCAUUACAAGCUUUUCUCUAUUGAGUGUCAACUUCUGUUUUCACAAUGGCAACUGCAACAUCAUAACAAUUGUUUCUCCAGAAAUAGCCAACAAAAGAUGAAAAUAUAUAGUGUCUACUUAGUAUCAUUACAAACUUUUGUCUCAGGAAUGUCAAGUUCAGUGUACUCCACAUAUGGAAUUCUGAAUUCAUGUGUUUGUUCUAUUAGUAAAGAUUUGAUUUCAGUUCUCAUCCAUAAAGAGAGGGAAAGAUGAUAAACCAAUCAGGAUAUUGCACCUCCUUUAUGCACUUCCAGCCAUGCCUUCAACAGAUCAAAACCUGCAAGCUUAAACUCAAUCCUGAGAUGCCAGCAGCAUGAUGCUAACUUUCAAGAAUGAAUGCAUCUUCAAACCAAUGUACUCUCCUUUCACAACUCAUCAUAAACCACUCAGCUAAUACAGGGCAACCUAACUACUCAAUUUCUGUCCAUUUUUAGAUUGUUUCCAUGUUGCUCAAAGUAAGGCCUUAUGAAAGUUCUCCUCCACCAUACCUCAAAGGCUCUCUGCAGAUUAGGGCAGUUACUACCAACCUUCAAGAAGCUCUCCAGCCAUGACAGCAGAACACUUUGCUGGUCUUCUAAAGGAAGUGUCAAAAUAGUUUGGCCUAUUCCUUCCUCAACAACCUUGCGGUCGAAUUGUCUGCAACCAUGUUGUAACCAACUGUAGUCAUCAACCAGUGGCUGCAACCAUACAUGCAAUAGCAGCUGCCGAGUUUCCUUCGAUGGAAGCAUCUCUCCUCUUCCAAUACCAACAAAAAGCCUGGCAGUAAUGCAGCUAACUCGGUGCCUCGACAUGACUGGAAGCUUUGAGUGCAGCUGAGCAAGCUCAUUUUGGCUAGCCCACAUCAAGGCAAAUUCAUCUGCAGUAUGCCUGACAGCCAAAAUCUCGACCAACCAAAGAAGAUUUUCUGCCUCGAGAGCUAUCUUCCUCACCGUAGGAUCCUUGCUUUCGAUACGAGUAGACUUGGAUGCUUGUCUAAAGAGCUCUAUCAACGAGGCUAAGCAGCUUUGGCAUAAACUAUACAAAGUUCCAAUGCAUAUGUCUACGGAUCCAUCAGUCCAGAAACUGUUUUCCUUGAGAAGUUUGAGCACUAAUGAUUUCAUCUCACGUCGACCUCUCUCCUCGUUGCUUCUGAGGACUAGCUCCAUUAUAUGAGCAAGAGUAUCAUUUGGAGGUUUCGAUGUAUCAGAAAAUACUCGCUUUAAUAUAGGACUUAUGCUAUAAUUUUUGCUCUGGAGAUGUUGGACAGAUGACACCACAUUUCCUUCUUCACCAACCCAGGGGACUACCUCCAGGUAAUCCAAGCAUGCCUUAAUGCAUGCAUGGAAUCCAAGCGAUUCAGCAACCUGCAAAUGUGAAUCUUGGUGAUGUCCAUGGUUGCAACCAGCAAAUGAAAACAUAAGGUAAAAAGAUUACAUAUGCACAACAAAGGGGGUGAAAGUAAGAGAGACAUAGAGCUUCUAGUUCAAUAAAUUACUUUUAAGAACAGUUGCACAUGUUUAUUUGUCUUUUUUAUCUUCCUGGAAAUUUGCUCACUUUGCGAAGUUGAAAGAAAACAAAUUCUACAUAACUGAUUACAUGAAAUGCACAAUGAUUACAUGAAAUUCUUAUUGCCAGCCUUGGUUGAUGAAAAUACAAGGCCCAUUUUAUAUGCAUAUUAUAUGACCAUUGCAUCCAGUAUAUUUUGGAAAGUAACAUUAGAACUGGUUUACAUGCAUCCUAGUAGUUCUCCCAGGACUUGAGCUCUCAUAAUUUCAGCUCCAAAGUACAAAAGGUGAUUACACUCAAAAACUAAAAUGCAUUUGCACGUCGCAAUAUCUCUCAAAUGCUUCUAACUUGGUAAUCACAUUCACAUCAUUCAAACAAAAAAUAUAGCUUUGAAAUGGUUCAUUUGGUCGUUAUAGAUUAACAAACAUUCCUUGAACAAAGGACUAUGAUAAUGAGCACUGUCUUACACAUGCAAUAAAACUAUAUAUAAAUCAUUAAUUAAACAUGCUAAUAAAAUUCAAUCACACAGAGAUGUAUGGAAAAAAUUCGACAGGAAACUUAUGUAAGGAAUAUGUAAAUGUAAAGCAGAACUCUGUGAUGUCCGAACAAACCUUUAGAAUGCGGAGCACACGUGAAACACUCUGCUUGAUUACUCUGUGUUUUACUUCACCACAGUACAUUAACCCCACAGUUUCAACAUAAAUUUCCACAUCUUCACAGUCAGAAAUUUCAAAAAAUGGUACCGGAGAUUGCCUAGAGAAUUUAUCUGCAAAGAAGCUACUGUGUUCUGUGAGAAUGGCCUUGUGAACGCUCAUCUCGACGGCAAUUCCCUCUUUCCCAAACAAAAUAAUCUUCAAAUCACUGGUCUCAGGCUGACCAAAGCCCACAGAAAUUUUUUGGUGUUGAUUCCCAACAUUUAAUUUUGAGAGACCCUCAGCUGCCUUUGUUGGACUUUUAGCAGCAGUAUCAGAGGUAAGACAACUAUUAUCCUCGGAACAAACUCUUGAACUUAAUGGAUCAGAAAGUGUUCCUUUGUCUACUGGGGAACUUAUUGGCCUCUGAACUGAAGAUGCCUUUGACGGCAUUGUAGACAGUAUCUUUUUCUUGUUUUGGUGAUUUUGAUUCUUAAUGGUCUUUUGUAGAACUGCGGGGGAUGGGCAACACCAAAACCCUUCAGGAGUUACAGCGACGGGAACAUUUCUGGCUUUCAUCUGACCUUGCCCAAGCUUUCUGACUCUAAAAUCAGUCAUAUUUCUUUCUGUUGCUCGAUAACUUCACAAUGAGAAUUCAUUCAAGAGGGCAUCAUGGAGUCUGAAGACACAAAAUCUAAAUUAUUGUCUAUAAGCAACAGUAUUCAGUUCCUAAGUCGAUGUCAAGAUUGCAUGUACCUGCACACAAUAGAGCUUUUUCAGGAUGAGAAGUUCAAACUUUAGAUGCAAAGUUACAACUCAGUGGCAUUUCAGGAGAGUGAAUGUUCUACAAGAGCCAGUGGAAUUGCAGAGAUGGGUGGACACUUCUACUUGCAACAACAGAGAAAAAACAUCAAUCUAUGUCAGAAAAAUCAAAGCAUCUGUUUUCAGUAAGAAAAAAGAAUCUAGUCUAAGCUAUUUGCAAAGAUGAACUUGAAUAUGUACGAUGAAAGGAAAAGAUUAAAACUUGAACCCGAUUUCUCUAAGAAAGACCAAAAGAUCCAAUCUUUCCUUCAUCUGCUCUUCAUUUUCUGUAAGAAAGAUUCAUACUUGAGAACCUAAAAGGGGUUUCUUCCUCCAGAAAACAAGGAAUCAUCAACUUGCGAAGCAAAACCUUUCGAUCCGAAAACGAAGGACGGUUAGGAAGCAAAGGGAGAAUCCAUCGCACUAACCAUUUCACGUCUCUCAGCUUCUUCCGCCACCCCACCCUUCCUUUUCUCCACAUCGCUUGCUCUGUCUCUGGAAUCCUAAUGAUGGGACCGUGCUCCAAUGUCAAGCAUGGAGGGAACCACAGGUGGGCAAAAUUACAGAGAAAAAUGAUGGGUACCAUCACGCCAUUCCUCUUGGUUCAGAGAAGCAAAAAAAAAGAUAUCAUUUUUAGUUUUACCCACUUCAAAUUCUUCAGGCCACCAUCUCCAAUCUUUCAAGUCUCCCCACCACUCACCCCUCUGUUUUGGAUGGCAAACUAUGUGGUUCCCUGGAGACCUAAAAUGACAAUAGAAAUACACAUACUCGAUGUGUGCACUUUUUCAAUUUCAGGUCCCAACAUGAACAUGAUAAGGACAACACAGAGAGUAUUCAAAAGAUAUCCAAAAACAUCCAUGCAUGGGAGGGCAUGGUAUGUGAUUGCAUUUGCUCAUUUCUUUUCUAGUACUUGGGGAUGCAAGCAGUGUGGGCUAAGAGCCGCAGAACUUUGGUGUUUGGCUCCUGGAUAUUGAAUAGUUUGCAAGAUUUUGGUUGUUUGUGCACUCCACCGACAAGUAACUCAAAAUUUUGAUUCCUCAAUUAUGUUCAUCACAUAGAGAGAGAGAGAGAGAGAGAGAGAGAGAGAGAGAGAGACCUUCCUAUGAUUCUAUGGAGGUGUUCUCACAUGAUAGUUUGGGUAGAAAGAGAAAAUGUGCUCAAUGAAUUUGAUUAUGCAUUUGGCUCAGCUGGUUCUUAAAACAUCAGUUUAAUCUGUUGUUAGCAGUCAUUCAUCUUUUGAUCUAAACUAACUUGUUGACAAAUUGCAUUGACACAUUUCAAGUAAUGUGAUGUUCCUACAGUUACUAGUCUCUGGUUUCACAAGUAUCUCAUUGAAGAUUACUUGUGGUCUAGCAGCUAGCAGCUGCUACUUGAGACUUUUGAUGAAGGUGGCAGAGAAAUAAAAUGCAUGCAGCAUAACAGAGUUGAACAUAAACUUUGACUAAUCUCCUUUAGGUACAAGGAUUAGAUGAGUCAACCCUACAAUCUGACAAGCCAAGCUUUGCUCUGUAAAGUGCAGAAUCCAAGUGAUUAGUGUCAGGAACCCAAAAAGUAAUCAUCCAUCACAGUGCCUUUCGGUGUGUGCAGAAACAGAAAGCACAUGUAAAUUACUAUAUAUAUCUCAACAGAAUCAAAUACGGCAAAGGAUGACUUUCCCUUUUGACUUCCCUUUCCAGGAACACUUUGGUACAGAGCUGCAGCAGUUGAGAUGAUGGCUUCCUGGCCUUCAAGCUAUCAAAUGAUUCUUCUACCCAAGGAAAAGGAAGUAAAAGCUGUAAAGGCAAAAGAGGGAAGAACUUUACAUUUGCACAUGGGUUUAGGCCAUAGUGUUUGACUAGGAAUCAUGGCAUGGAUUGGGGAGGAGACACCACAAUGGAAGUUGGUAGCCAGAUGCAUGAUCAUGUCUUCUCAAGAAAAACGAAAAAGAUUUGCAUAUAAUUAUGGAUAUGGAUCCACAUUUGAGCAUAUAAAAUAUUCAUCUUGUUAUUGAGAUCUAUGCUAUAGAAUAUAUAAUGACAAGCUAUGUUCCAAACCAUUGUUGGCAGAAGUCGUGCAGAUGGAUUUCCAAGUCCUAAACAUUGGUGAAAGAUAAACACAGUUCUCCAAUCAACCAGAGAAGUUUAGGUGUGUGAUCAUUAAGCAUACCAGCGUCCAUGGUGAGUGUCUUGUUUGUGCUGUGCAUGCUUGUAGAUUGCAGAAUGCCUGCAAAGUGCAAAGAUGAUAAGAACUUUGGAUAACAGAUGUUCGUGUAAACAACCUUAAGCCGUGGCCUCGGGGCCGACGCGGCUUUGUUCGGGUCCGGAUGACGGGGAUCUCCCCGGGAUGUUCCUCGAGACUGCUAAGGUGACCGACUGCGGUGGUCUGAUCGGGAUGGGGUCGCCGUUUCCUCUGAGAGAGGGCUCCUCGCCUGGGCAUCUAGUAGGAUGCCUCCGCCUUCGCACCUGCACACAGGUCGGGUCGGAAGAGCUCGACCCGACCCCUUUAACGAUCAAGUCAGUAAAUAGUCGCAGGGGGUUUGUUAUCUAUGUUGGUGUCCUUCUCCUUUUCCCGUUUAGAAUGCGAGGGUAUUUAUAGGGAAGCUUACUGUUUCCUGAUGUGCCCUCUUGUAGGGGGCAGGCUCGUACUCCUGGUAGCGUCUGAUACUAGUGUUGGCGUGACUUGAAGGACCGAGCCUGAGCAGGAUAUUUAAUGUGCCUCGGUCGACGUUCCGAUCCAUUUGAUCAGGUGGUGUCAGGUCAACCGAGACGUUAUCUGGGGCAUCAACCCGAGUCUUAUCGCCAUCAUUAUCCUCGUCAACGAACAUGUUAAGAUGCUUGAUGAAGAAGAAGAAGAAUUCUGAUGGACUGAAAAGGAAGUAUUUAUUUUGUUGUUUUUGUUUUCUCUAAAAUAAUUUGUAUAGAAGCAAACAAAAAUGUUUUCCCUAAAAGUAUGAUAAGGAUUUGCAACAGAUACAUGGGAUACAAACCAAAACAAUAUCAAAUCCUUGUCUCUCGAGGACAGAGCCACGUAUGGUUUUGAGCCAACUAUGGCUAUUCUGGAUCAAUUUGGGACCAGUCUUUGCCUCUUCUUAUCCUCCAAAGGCCACCCCAUCCUCCAUUUCUUCUCAACCAUUCAUGCGUUCCAAUCGCUGUCCUAUCGAAGCACCUGCAGCAGAGAGAGAGAGAAGCAGCUCUCAUCCGAGGAAGCAGAGAUGGAGAACUCUGAGGGGGCUCAAGCCAUUGCAUUCAGUGAGGAGCAAGAGGCCCUUGUGGUGAACUCGUGGAAUGUGAUGAAGCAGCAUGCAGCUGACACUGCCCUAAGCUUCUUCCUGAAGUAUCUCCUUUGUCUCUUACGCCAACGCACUCUCUUGCAGAACCACAUGCAUUGCGGCUGAAACUUCUGUUCUUGAUAGGAUCUUCGAGAUCGCACCUUCGGCAACUCAGCUGUUCUCGUUUCUGCGCGACGCCGAUGUGUCGCUCGAUAAGAACCCAAAGCUCAAAGCUCAUGCCAUGGCAGUCUUCACCAUGGUAUGCAAGUGUAGCUUGACUUUGAUCUGAGCUUGACAAUGCCAAACACUUGUCCAACAAGCUUGGUGUUCCUGACGCUUGGUUGCAGGCAUGUGAAUCAGCAGCUCAGCUGAGGAAAACAGGCAAAGUUGCAGUGAGGGAGACAACCUUGAAGAAGCUGGGAGCUACUCACAUGAACUCCGGCGUCAUCGAUGAACAUUUUGAGGUCAUUUACUCUCACAAAUCACCUGAAAAAGUAACCAAAAGAAAAAACAACAACUGCUAUAUCAGUACAACAGUGCUAAUUCAAGAUCAAGUUUAUUUCAUUCGACGUUGUCAUGUAUGAGCUUUGAUGUAAAAGCUUAUACUAUUCUUCCAACAGCAGAAGCUUGCUUUGAACACAUUUCUUCUCAGUUGGAGUAUGGAGAAAUCUUCGGAGGAUUAGAAGUGAUGAUUUAUAUCAAAUCAUGCAGGUGGUGAAGUUUGCAUUGUUGGAGACCAUAAAGGAUGCAGUCCCAGAGAUGUGGUGCCCUGAAAUGAAGGAUGCUUGGGGACAAGCCUAUGAUCACCUGGCUGCAGCCAUGAAGGAAGAGAUGAAGCUUCUCAGUGCUUCAGUGUAGAUUUGUGUUUCCUCAUCUUGAUAUCAAAUGCUGUGUCAAUCUGCAAUGGUUGGCUGUUUCUUAUUUUUUUCCUUCUGCUGGCUUGAUUGCAUCCUCAUAUGGAGUAUGUUAUGGUUUCAUUUAUAUGAAUAAAAUGAGGUAUUUUCUCUAGAAAGUUUGGAGUAAGACUACACCAUGUUGAAUGAUAUCUUACACUAGAAGUUGAAUGAUAUGAAUGACUUUGAAACCAUGUUGAAUUAAGAAAAAAAAUACAAAAGAGGCUUAAUCAAGGCUAUAAUACAUGAUGAAUGGAUUCUAAUUCAAUCCAAAAACAAUUUUUACUAAUGUCAAAUAAAUCGAAGAUAUCACAUCAAGUGUUGAAAGAGAGCAAAAUAUUAAGCAGAAAACAGGUGUGGCUAAGGCUGAUGAGGACAUGCCCAUAAUCUUUGGGAUCAAACAGCAGCCCAAACUUUCUCAUGUAUUGCAAAUACAAUUUUACUAAGGCUACUUGAAACACAACAAUCUUGGGAUAAAAGGAUAGUUUAGAGAAACAACCGCCACAAAAAAACUAUUUGUCUAUCCACCAUAAAUGACAUUCAUUGCACAGUAAAGUAUCAGCAAAAUUCUCUACUAGUUGAAGUAGUUCCAGCAGCAUGGAACAAAUGUUACUUGCAAAGCAUGGAAACCCCAAUAUUUGGGUGGUAAAAGCAUGUUUCUGUAGUUUAUGAAACAUCAAGAUGUACAUUACUCGUUCAAGAGGUGUUCCAACUCGUCGAAGUCAUCAACUGCCACUGCAUCGUUGCGGCUACUAAUGCCAGUCUGCGUACAAAAUGUCUCCUUUUGAGCAUCCCAGUCUUUCACGAUAUCAUCUACCAUGUCUCCCACCAGCUUCUUGUCUUCUGUAAUGUGUUUUACAUCCUCCAUAUCCACUGGACCCAUAGCUUCUUUUAUUGGGUAAAAAAGGGCAAGAGAAGAGAUGUCUUUUAGUAAAGGAAAACCACAUGAAGAGGAAAAAAAGAAAUCUUUGCUAAAAUACAUUCGUUAUCAUAAUGAUAGAUGUUUAGCUAUAUUUUAAAGGUGAAAGAUGUUUUCUGUAGUUAAUGUGCCAGAUAAAUUCCAAAGCUUAGUAAGUAAUAUACUAAUAGCAUAGGAUAUUAAGAUAAAUCAUGCUAAUCAAAACAUGCCGAUAUGACAUGGAAAUCAUUUCUAUAUUAGAUAUUUUCCCAAAUUAUGCAAAGGAAAUCAUUCAUCAUCAUGGAAAAUCAAAAUGUUAUCUUCUAGAAGAAAUUAUGUUGUUUCCUCUUAACUUCAAUAAGGAACUGAUGACGGAUACUUUAUACAGCAGAACUUUCAAAGAACAGAAAUUAGGAUGAUCAUUCUGCCAUUAGAGGGCAGCACCUAACAUGAAGUUCUCAUUUGAUGAUUCCUUUAAGAGAUCAAAGCAAAUUAUGACAUUAACAGAUAUCUUUUUUUCACCACUGAUUUCCUCAUUUUAAGAUAUUGCAUCAGAGCAUUCCAACAAAAUUAAUAAAGCUGGCUGAAAAUCGACCAUAGGUAACUGUAUUUGAAGGCCUGAAUUUGGCCUAUUCAACAGUAAUAGAAACAAAUGUCUGUCCAGCUAGGCUUAUGGUUGAAAAAAAAACCAUACUAUAUAUGCAGUUUAUAGCUAGAAUAUAGUUUCUCCAAGGACAAUAGUGAGUACUUGGGUUAUGCAGCAAUCUGCAAAUGAUGCCUUGAUCUUUUUUUUAUCUAGCUAUUAUAAUACAUUGCAAAAAGUGUUCAUUAAAGGGUACCUGAUAUAGCCAAUUCCUUUGCUUCAGCAUAUUCUUUUGACAUUUUCUUGAGUGUGCUUAGUUCCAAUUCCAUUCCCUGAAUAUAAGUGAUAACAAACAAUCAAUGAGAACAGCAAUGAUUAUUGCCAGCAGAACUUCGUUAAAAUAUAAUAGAUAGAUGAACCAUUUCAAAACUUUGCAGUAGCAACAAAAGGUCAUAGAGUACAAGAUCUUAUGGGUCUACCAUUAUUUAAUUCAAAUUACAAGUAAAUAACAGUAUAUUUGUUACUACUGCACCAGGGUUCUGGUUGCCUUUGUUCUUAGAAGAGUUAUCGUGCUAACGAAGCAAAAGAAUUUUACGACAGAUGCAUAGACGGUUAGAUUAAAUGGAUUAAUGCAAGUCAAAAUCCAAGAACAGCACGCUAUUUCAUCAUGGAAAUCAAGAACAAGACACUGUCCUAACAACCAUGUACUACACAUCAGGUAUUAGAAUGCUGUUUGAUGAUUUCUUAGACAUCACUUGCCAUGCUGUUAAAACAUUUCACCAAUCCAUUAACAUGUAAGCUUUAGAGUCUGCACAGGUAACGGCAUGCUGCAUAUGUACUACAGUUAUAAAAAAAAGCCCCAGCACAUACAUUUUAAGUAGGAAAUAAUCAUGUUAUCAAUUGGUUGUUUAUAAAUAAUGAAAAACAAAUUAAAACAAUAUAUGAUUGAGCUCAAUCAGCCACUUAACAGCAAAGGGAGAGUUGGAAUUUUUUCAGGAGCCUUUAAGCCCUGUAUGCAUCAACUAAUGCGUUGUAACUUUCUAGGGGAACAGACCAUCGAGUGAAAGCAUAACAGAUUAAUGGUGCCAUAGCACACGAUGGAAUUUUCAGACGAAAACCAGGAGAGCAUGAUCAAGGUAAGACUAUGAUUCACUGUUCUCAUGAUUCAGAACUGAGUAAAAUAUUUAAAGGAUUUUAGGUCUUGCUUCUUAGAAGGCAAUUUACUGAAAUCACUUUGCAAAAGUAGGAAUGAGCUUCGACCACAAAAUAGAGGCAUGGUCAGCUUGUUCAGGAAUCAGUUUCAAGAGUAAGCAACUAGUUAGCAAAUCUGAUUAUUACUCGAAAGCAAUCUCCCAACAAUAUUGACCUCAAUGAUUAAGUAUCAAGGGACAUGCUCGUAAUGGUCAACGACAGCAGGGCGCAAUCAUGUGGCAAAACAUCAGAUUUGAGAAAGAAAAUGAAAAAGAAAAACCUUGUACCUAUGUCAUAAGUUGACCUAGCAUCACACAAAGAAUGGUCAUCCUUCAUUCUUUGUUCAAAACACCCAUAUGCCACUUGAAUUCCCAUCUUAAAUAGAUAUAUAAAUAUAUAGUUAAAAAACACAGUAUAUAUUCUAGAUAGUGUGCUAGGGAAAAUUACAAAGAAAUACUUAGAUAUAUACCUAAAAUACACUUGCAUUUCUUAGUUACAAAAUGAUACUCCUACCUCCACAGAACUUUGACAAAAAUUAGCCAAACCAUUUAUGGACUAUGAAUUUUAAGAACAAGACAUUUUUGCCCUUUCUUACCAUUUAAGUGACUAAUUAAAAGACAAAAUAGCAAAGGAGCCUAAAAGAAAAGAAUCUGUUUGCAUCCUAAUUCUCCUCGUAGAAUCCUAAGAGAACUCAAUACAUUCACUCAUUCCAUUCAUCUGCUUGUAUAUGCCAGAAGAACUGAUCACAAGCCUCAAUUUGUCCUCAACAGUUUGCAAACCAGCUAAAUUUCAUUUUUAUCAAAAGAGAAAAUAGUGGAAGUGAUAAAGAUGUAAGACUUGCUCAUUGAAUAAUGACUUGCUUUCGGUGAGCGAGAGAGCAUGAUGGUGUUCACCAUGUUUUUCAUAUUUCCAAAUGCAAGGUACAAAAAGGGUGCAGUACUAAUGUGAUAACCAAGUAACCAACUAGUCUAUGCAUGCACUAUUUAUCAACUUAACAUCAAGAUGUAACGGAAAUGACUUACAAGGUCCAUAUGCAGAUAGUCCUCUAUCAGAGUAUUGCCCAAUAAUCUGUAAUAUGGAAAGAGAAAAUAGUAAGUAACAAGCAAUAUAUAAUAUAGCCCAUUAUAUAAGAAUCCACUACAGUGCCAGAAGAUUAAACGCUACAAAAUUGAAAACAUUGCAAACACAGAAAUAGAUACAAAGAGUGUACUACGACCACAUAUCAUAAGCAUAGGGGAUAAGAAAUAUUAUAGAGUUCAGAUAAGUUACUUUUCAUAUGCUAUUUGAAUUCGCUUGUUUUCUAGCUUCAUUAUCUCGUCAACCCUUUGGCUCUCAUAUCCAUCAACUCUAUCAACGAAGCCAAAUAUAAACAUGUUCUUAUCUAGCAUUUUUUUGACAAGAGCAGGAACAAUAGCAAUACCAAUCUUUUUUGCAUCAAUAACAAGAAUCUUCAGCCUCUUUAACUCACCUGUUGCAGAAGACAUAAACAAAUGAGUGAAAAAAAGAAAUAAAAUAAUAAUGUUUCUUGCUACCCAUGAACUAUUUCACUCUGCAAACCUAAAAAAGAACCUUUUUCUUCUGCAAAGGCAGUUUAUAUUUAUUAUUCAAUACACAGACCAAUGUUAAAGACAAGUUUGCCAAACACCCAAAGCAAAAUCAAAGACUACUGAACAAAGAAGGGCAGCAGUAGGAGUUUGGAGUUCAUCAACUUCAGAUUACUCUAAAGAUCUAAAGCAAGAUAGAAGAGACCAAUUUUAGACAAACUCCUAAACAAGUCAAAAGUGUGAGAAAAAGGGGUACAAUGCAUAUUUCACCAUCAAACCUGAAUGGCAUAUCUAUGGUACUCAGUGUCUAGUCAUGGCCAGAUGCACUUUUUCGUUUCAUAGUUCACUAAUGAGGACAGAAGAGCAAAUAUGUAAGGAAAAAUGCAGAUAAACAAGAAAGAAUUUAACAGUGACAAAAAUUACCACAGACCUAUGUUUCUGAUAUCUAAGGUAAUUAAAAUGACUUUAAGAAUUAAAUAUCACCGGCACAUACAAAGAGAUAAAUAAAUUUUGAAAGCAGGUUUAUAUGGUUGAGUCUCAUAGAGGCAGUAAAGGCAAUAGAAGCCACCCAAUCUCGUUGACAGUGCACCUGUAGAAACCAUAUGGCCUGCAUAAAGUAGUCAUUCAUCACUGAUUCUCUCUAAUUGUAAAAUCAAGCAUAUAAAAACUAAAAAGGGAAUUAUGGUGAUUAGACAUACUAAUAGAAUACGAAUAAAGAGACUGCAUAAAUAUGGCCUCGUUAGAGAUAGGUUUAGCCUCAUAAAUAUAAGAGAAUUUCUUAGCCAUCCACAUCUUCUUCAUGUCUGCCAAUGUGGUAUGGUUACCCUGCCAGUUCAAGGAACAAUAUGUAAGUUCUCUAUAAACUAAAACAUGCACUUUAGCUUGAAGAAGAUAAGCGAAAAAUCAUACAAAAUUUGAGAAAAAGAAACUACCUCAUUGAACUCAUCCACAAGCUCAUCAAUAUCCAACUUGAAAGGUCUGAGGUCCAUAUCAAUAUCAUCAAGAUUCAUGCAUCCAUGUGUCGAUGAUUAUUUGUGCCUGCUGCAUAUGCAACAACUGCUUGGAGUAACGGCCAGUUAAUGCACAUAGAUUUAUAAAUUUUGUAAUUUAAAACCAAUUUUCCAUGCAUAAUUUUCUAAAUUUAAAGUUUGAAGUAAGUUGUUGCAGACAAAUAAAUAAGAAUAUUGGGAUUCGAGACUGAUUAAUGAAAAAAAGGUGGACUUGAAGAGGGAUUAGAGUUAGUACAAAACCCACCUUUGGUCGGAUGAAGAAUUAUGAAGGCACUAGACUUCCAUGAUAAGGAAGGAGUCCAAAUGAAAUUGUCGGCAAAGCUCGUCGGUUUGGGGUUGGAAAAAGGAUCAAAAUUGGUCAAUUUUGAUACAAUCAAAAUCAGGUUUGGCCAAGGUUGACAAGGCAAGGUCAGGCUGAGAAAAUUAUUCUAGAAUCCAAAAAACAUUAUGAAAACCACAAAGGUAAACGAAUGAAAGAUAAAAAAAUAGAGCAUACAUAUUAACUAAAGAAGGGAGAAAUCAUUUAUAGUGUACUUGUAACAUCGUUCAUUUCAACUCUAAGUAAUUGGUACCAUCAAACAUGGGGCAACAUAUAAUACCAAGCAACACAUGUUAGAUAGUAAAAUAUCAUUCACCAGUAGAAAAUAAAUAAACAAACAACUUCCUUAUUGCACAUGAGAUAGAAUCAAAUUAUAUAAACCUUCCAGUGUAAAUAGUGAAAAAUAAUAUAAAUAAUCAAGCAAUCAAUGGAGUACCUACUGUAGAAAGACUCAUUGCCACAUACUGUUACAUGGUAGAUGGACAAUAUAUUAUGCUCGUCAUCAUCCUCAGUACAUGUUUCAAAUUAAAUAAGUCGAUUAGUUUUAUUAAUCUACAGAAUGUAAUUAAAUAAAUUUAGUAUACUAUCUUAUACACAUUAAAAUAGAGACACUAACUACCAAAAAAUUAUUUUCUAAAGAAGAAAAUAUAUUUAAUUACAUAGACCACAUCCCACUGUGCGGUGUAAUUGUACAUGUGACUAGAAGAUCCAUCAAAGAUUGACACAAUUUUUUGGGAAGUGCCAACUGAUAUAAAAUCAACUGCAACGUUCUGAAAAGCAAACCAGAUUAUGAACCAACAAAAGGAAAAACCAAUGAUUUCAAGGUUCAAAUGGGAUGAAACCGUGAUGCUGCCAUAAAGUGUCAUAUAACUAAAAACUUAGCAAUUAAAAGAAUAAACACAGAGAUUUUUCAGAGAAUGAAAGCUCCAAAAGGCAUGGGUAUAUUUGGAGCGGGGAGACAAAGGUUAUAUCAUCUGCACCACUCCUUGCAAUUAAUUUGUAAACCAUUUGUGUUUAACAGUUCAAGCAAAAGUAUCUUAGCAAUUUAGUUGGACACAAUGUGCGAAAACAUAUCAAACUGUGACAUACUAUCAAAGGUGUGGAUCUAGAGCGGUAGAGGCAAUUACCUCAGGGCGUCGCUGCACUGCGCAAGGGAUCAGAAAAGAAAAUGUUUUCCUUAGGUUCGAGUUGAGCACCAGGCCAAGCUCGCCGACGAUGUCCAGGAUCGCCUCGAUCUCGUCGGUUGCCUCACCGCUUAUAUCAGGCGGAAGAGAGCGAGAAGGGUUAGGGUUUGACACUUGGGAAGUCUGAUCAGUUUGGUCCAUCCGCAAAAGCCAAUUGAAGGCGAACCGAUUUGGGCAUGAUCAAGCGGACAAAACACAAACCUAUACGGAGUCAAUUUAGUCUCCCGUUGGGCCUAUUCACUAGGACCACCGCGAGUCUGCCGCCGCGUGGAGCGGUUGCCCGCAGCCUUCACAGCGGGAGGCCAAGUGGCGCUUCCCCUCGUCGGAAUCACGGGAUCGCAGACAAGGACGACGCAGCAAGUAAUCGCGGGAACCGAGGAAAAAGAAGCACCAGUUGUUGCAUACAGAUCAUUAAAAAUGCAUCUUUAUUUUUUUAUAUGAUAAAAAAACAAUAUCUACCAUUGCAAAAUAUCUCAUACUUCCAUAAGUUGAAUUCCUGUAUGAGCCUGCAAAACUAUUUAUAAUAGACAAAUAAUUGUGGCAUUGCCUUCAUGGCAAAUAUCUUUACAAUAAAAAUAUUUUUAAUAAAAUAACAAAUUUAACUGGUGUAUACUUUAUCAUAUAAAGUCCUAACAUCAAAAAACACCAAUCUUUACCCAAAGCAAGGAAAUCAGAUAUAUCUUUAGAAUAAAACCAUACUCUAUGACAAUGAAUGAGGGUAAAGAAGCAUCUUUUGUUGCAAAAGAUGCAUUGAACAAAAUAGAACAAAGAACACAUUUUUUUUUUCCUCUUUCAAUGAUUAAAUAUCUUUUUCCGCAAAUAUCAAGUAAAAAAGUUAUUCCUUUUCCAACAGACACAACCUGAUUUCAAUUUUGCUGCUUCCUUACAAUUUGGUAAUGUGAUCGGCAAAGACGAGAAUAAUGCAUAUCAAGAUCACAACACGAUUCGGCAUUCGGAAUGAGGAGGAGGAUUUAGUUCGAUCGCCGAAUAAAUUCUCAGAGAAGCGGAGAGAUUCAUAAUCAUGCCGCUAUCACAUUGAAAAAAAUUCUCUUUCCACCAAGUAAAAGAAGCAAAGGGGGAAAUAAUGUAGGAAAAAAAAAAACGGAGAAAGAGACUGAGUUGGGUUUCUCUCGGACAAAUGCCUCGAUUCGUCCUCAUGCUGAGUGGAAUGGAUAAUAUCGGACUCGUCAUCUAUGUUUACAUGUCAUCACCGGGAAACCCAACAAAUCGACAUCUCUUACCACUCCACGACAAAUCAAGAAACACGUAACAAGAUUGCGAGAGAAAGAGAGAGGAAAGAUUCGAACUCACGGAUGAAAAGCCGGAGAUUACGACAAAGGUCGAGUCUUUGCUCGCCGACCGAGAGCGUCACCAAUGGAAGAUAUAAAUAGGGUCAGCAGCCGAAGAACCAGGGUUUCGCUUCUCACCGAAAUUACCUUUUUGUCUUCCAUAUUUGUUAUAAUACGGCACAUAUAAAAACGGCGUGCUAUAAUAUUAUAUAUAAUUUAGAUAUUAUAUAUUACAAAGUAUAUGUUAAUUAUUAUUAGUUGAAUAUUUAUAAACUAAUUCAAAGAACCUUUUGCUUCAAAUGUGAGAUCAAACUUUUGCGCUUCAGUUUAUAGUGUUCAAUAAUAAUUCAAAAGUCAAGGUUAUUUUGUUAGUAGAAUCAUUAUGUUUGAUCUAAAAUUCUUACAUAGAACUAAACUAUAAGAUUGCUACAAUCUUGCAGACAAUAAGGUAAAAUUCUUAUUUUGUAGGAAAAAAGGAUCAGCUCGAUUAGGAGGCUGCGAUGAGAGUCGGCGCCACCGCUUCGGGAUGCUGCUCCGUCAUCAGGGUGUCGAUGGAGGAGGAAGGACGAAAUCGUCGGAGGGAAUGUCGCGGUUUUUACUGCUCGAGGGAGAACCCGAACCGGUUCCUUAUUUAAACCCACGCUUUGAGAUCGGUAAAAGGACAGGUGGCCACCUACGGCUGGUUUCCUGUGUGAUUUUUGUAAGGAGGGGCUCGGUUUGGUGAGGGAAGGGGAGCCGAAGGGUUUCGGAGGAGUCGUGGGGGGUUUCUUUGCCGCUUCUGCCGCCGGAGCUUCCUCUGUGGUCGUGGACGCCCGCCGCCGUCGGGUUCGACAUGAGGACCAACGCGGUUUUCAGUCCACGCCCGUCUUCUACCGUCUUUCUCCACCAUGCGCCUCCUCGAUGCUCCACAGAUUGUUCUUUUCGAAACCUUAUACCCAUUAGGUUUCAUCCUCUGUCUCCGUGCCCUUUCGAUUUCUUGUUCAGUUCCUCAUAACGAUCUGUUGAUUUGCUAAAGAUAUGUGAUUUUUUUGGUGGACGUGAAUAAUGCAGCCAAGCUACUGCCCCACGUCGACAAGACGGCAAGAUUGGGGGAUGCUCCUCUCCUGGUCGGCGGAGGUGCGUGGUCUUUGGUCGUCUUCAUUGUUCUAUGAUCGUCUGACUUGUUCACUUAAUUCUGAUUAAAUGACUCGGAACCACCAAAAUCUGAAACCUUUCUGAUGGUGACCGUCUUAUCCAUGUUUAUAGUAUCUACGUGCGUUAAGUACAUUUGAUGUUAGUUUUUAUAGUCGAUGAUUAUUGAGAUGUGCCAUAAGAAUGAACGAAGAUUUUAAGUAAACAGUGUUAGCAUACCUGAAAGCACACGGAUGGUAGCAAAAAUGUUACGAGUCUUGAGAGGAGAAGCUACCAGUUGAUGUCAAACGGUAGGAUCAAUCUUAUCACCUUCAUGCGUGAAUCAGGCACCGUGUGCUUUUAUGUUUAUAACCUUUGGGUUAGAGAUAUGAGAUACUUAAUUAUGAUGAUAAAAGACGGCCAACUUGGAUUUAUUUCAUAUGAAUCUAAUAUUGUACAUGGAUCUCAAGUAGACAAUAGACCACACUUCAGAAUUUCCUUCGUAAUUAAUGUAUGACGGAAAUCUAGAAGAAGGAUUACCUAUCCUAACAUGAUGGGACAAGGAUAUUAUAUACAUAUUGUGCAAAACAAAUGAUUUCAUAAAUGAUCAUGGCGAUGCCUUAUCCAAGGGCUUGUAAAUGGUUUAUAAACCAGAUAGACAAGAAAUAUAUCACAACCAUGCAAAAAGUUACUCCAAAGCCAAGGUUUAGAUUGUUGGAUUCAGGAUUGAUCAAAUUAGGGUCCUUGAGGGAUCAGCAUUUCUACUGAGAAGACAAAUUUGGAGUUCAAUGGAGCCGUAUUCUUUUAUCCCUGUUUCUUUUAUGUCUGCUUAAUUUUUCAUCUAGUUAACUCUUUGAAUCUUGUUCUUUUGUCUUUGUUGUGCUUCUCCCAAUCCUUAGCCUUUCUUUCCAUCUGCUCAUGGAUUUUAGACAGAUCUUUUCCUUUUUGGUGUUGAUGCUAGCUAAUUCUGAAGCCCUCGAGAAAUAUGACAUCAAAAAAUUGCUGGUUCAUCUGAAUUUUGACAAAUAUCUGUCAAUCUCAAUUGAUUUGAUCCAAUCCAAGUCAUUGCAGGCUAUUGCUAAUCAGUGUCAGCCAACAUUAUCUACUUGAUUUUGCUCAAUGUUCAUAUGUAUUUCUAGUGAUGAUUUUGGUACCAAAUUAGUAAUUCCUUAAUUCUUCAGCAUGAUAUUUAAUGUUUGUAAUAGCAGUUUUAUAGUGUGCCAUAAUAUCCAUAGAUCUGAUCAGACACCAUAUUGUCACCUUGAAUCAGCGUCAGAACAGAAACGGAGUUGGUUUUUGAGAGAUGGUUGGUGCGCGAAUGACAAAAAGAAAAAAAGAAACUUUUUUUUUUUUCACAUUUGGUUGCUGGUGGGCCUUUUACUUCUUUGAAGUCAUUACUGUAUAAUGCAAAGCACAAAACAUUAUAAUACACAAUCAUUUAUUGAUAUGUCAUAUAGUUGUGGCCCUCUUUUCUUCAUGCCUUUUGACUUUAUUCGAAUCAGUGAUCUGUCUUUGUUUUUAUUGUAUUCUUGAUAUGAAACAAUUUUUUUUUAAUAUUGAUAUAUGGCUUGUUGCUAUGCACCCUUUAUAGUUGCAAUUGUGGAAAUUUGUUCAUGUGUGUGCUUCUUGUUAUUUCAGGGUUGUUUCUGAGAGGAUACGAAAGGGUAGAUACAAGAACCAAAUCUUUGCUUCCGUAGCAGGUAUCUCUAGUUCUAUGAUUUACCGUAAACUAGUACUAUUGAUAUUUGAGGAAGGUCAUGUCUUCUUAUCUAAACUUAACUAGUACAACCAGUCACUUUAUAACAAUUUUUGUGGGUUUUUUCUUGUAGCAUUGUUGCAGCAAAUCUUUCUAAAAUUUUGUUCAUAGUUUCAUUUAACUGUCAAGGAACCUACCUCUUCUUUUUUGAAUCUCUUUUACAUUCCAAUGGUUGCAACUGUUGUGGUCUCUUUUAUUCUACCUUCUCUGAUUUCUGUUCCUUUAUAUCUCUAACUUGUGAGCUUGAUAAAUUUACUAAUUGUUAAUGCAAAUUUUCCUUGCAUUUCAGCUUUUGUCUUGCUCGAAUUUUUGCAUGAAAUGGUUGUCUGUAGACAACUAGUGCCUUAUCACUGUCAUGUUGUGUUGUAAAGCAUUUCAGAAUUUUGUUUUAAGAAAUAGUUUUUAACAUCAAUGGCUUGUACCUUGUAUUAGUCACAUGUUGAUAAUAGAUUGCGUCAUUUCUUUUCUUCACACAGAUGUCUCUCUUGAGCAGUCCAUAGUUGAUUCUCCUAUUCCAAGAGGUGACAUGUGGUCUGUUCAUAAAUUUGGUGGGACAUGUAUGGGAACCUCCAAAAGAAUUCAGAGUGUUGCUGACAUUAUCCUGAGUGAUUCUUCUGAAAGAAAGUUAGUAGUUGUUUCUGCAAUGUCAAAGGUGACAGACACGAUGUACGAUCUGGUAAACAAGGCUUCAUCAAGGGAUGACUCUUAUAUAACAGCAAUUGACAAUGUUUUUGAGAAGCACAUGUUAACAGCAAAGGAACUUCUUGAUGGAGAGGAUCUAGCCAGAUUCUUAUCUCAAUUGUAUAAUGACAUCAGUAACCUGAAAGCAAUGCUUCGUGCCAUUUAUAUAGGUCUCAAGUUACUUCAACUGUUCUUCUUUUCCAUUUAAUUUUUUUAGCUACCGAGCCAAUUGGAAAUUGCUGGAUUAACUGCUAGAUAAUUUGCCAUCACCAAUUUUACAUCUCUGCUUGUUGAUUUUCUGCAGAAUAUUUAGAAGUUUGUUAUAUUAUCAUUGUUAUUAUUGUUAGAAGCUUAUGUAACUUAUGGCAGGCUCACUCAUUUUAAGCAUAUACAUAACAAGCCUGUGUUCAUUGAUUAGUUUUUGGCACAUUCAAUCCAGAAAUUGCUAAAUGGCUGCUGGAAAUGGGGCCACUCUUGGCAAAGCCAACAUUAAAUUGCUUGUGAAGUGUCUAUAUUAUGCUUUGCUUUUGGUUCUAUUUAGAAAACCAUGUAGUUGAUACUGAUAAUACAAAUAGAAGUAUUAUUGUUGUUCGUGGUUAUGAAUUAUGUCUUGCUUUACCUGUUUGGCGAGUAAAUUGUGAAUACUAACCCAUCAUGGGAAGUCAAUGGUAUCAUGAACUGUUAAUAUGAUGCAGUGUCGAUAUGAUUAAUUAAUAAUUCAUAUGAGGUUUGGGCAUCAUCAUUUGUAUUAAUAGUAGCUGAAGUGACUUUAGUGCAGCUAGUCCUAAUUCAACAUUGCUAUGAGUUUGUGUUCCCCUAUUCAGUUCAAUUUCUAAUUGUCCAUCUGAGUCAACUUUGUAGAAAGAAAGACAUUUGAUUUACUUGGAUGCUCAAUUAAAUCAGGUGUCAAACUAUCAGCAGGUUCUUCUUAUAUGGUAAAUCCUAAUGAAACUAAGACUGCUCAAAAUUAGGUGUCCAGCUCAUAAUAACUAUCUAUUUUGAUGUUCUUUUAUUGCAGACUAGCAACCCACAUAGCAUCAAAGUCAAGGGUAGAAAUUCAUUCGUGGAAUUAUAUUUGGCUGAAGAAAACAAAGAUAUCUAUGAAAUGUUUUCACUAAGAAACAUUAAUUUUUUUUGGCUAAAGUCUUCCUCUCUGGCUUUGUUUAUUCAUCCUUGAGGUAUCAUUAUAGCAGCAUUUUGUAAACUACCAUCUACUAAUUAGUUUAAGGUCCCACAAUUGUUUUGGUUGUGACUGCUAGGUAGUGAGGUUACUAUCCACGCCUCUUUGACAUGGGCUUUGGAAGGGCAUGGCUUAAAAGUUUAUCAUUGGUAUAUCUCAUACCUAGCUACUAUCUGUUGCACACAACAUUCAUAGAUGUCUUGUAUGUAACAGAGACACAAAUCACAUUUCAUUUGUGAAUUUGUAAUCUUGAAUAAUGUUUUAUAGCUUAUGACUCCUGCAAGUGUCACAUAUAGGAACAUAUUAAAGUUAUUUUUCUGGUUUAUCCUUGUGGAUUUUGAAUAAUCUUCUUGACAGAAGAAUGUGGCCACAUGUAGAGUAACACAUCUUGAAAUUUUUCUGAAAAGCAGGUUUAUGAUUUACACUGGGAACUUAGUUAGAAAUAAACAGAAAUCAUGCAUUUAUUCAUGGAGUAGAUUUUUCUUGUUUGACAGUUUGAGGAGUUCUACUUGUUUAUUUUACAUUUUUUUCCUUCUCCUGUUGAAGCUAUUGUUUCUAAAUAUGUGCUUCUUAAGCUGCAGUUAUGUUGUAAGCUUAUCAAUCUGUUCUUUUCUGGUUUCUUUCUAAUGCUGAUUUUCCUUGAUGCAUUAAUUUUAACAUCCAUAUUAUAUUUUGCAGCUGGUCAUGCAACAGAAUCUUUCUCAGACUUUGUUGUCGGUCAUGGAGAGUUAUGGUCUGCUCAAAUGUUGUCAUAUACAAUAAAAAAGGUUGUUUUUAUGCAUGACACUUAUCUCUGUUAAAUACAAUAAUCUUAGUAUAACUGUUUUGGACUGUAUCUUCUAUGCAGCAUGGAAAGCCUUGCUGUUGGAUGGACACAAGAGAUGUCCUUAUUGUAAAUCCUACCAGUUCCAAUCAAGUUGAUCCUGAUUAUACUGAAUCAGAGAGAAGACUUGGGAAGUGGUUUGUUCAGCAGUCUGCUGAUAUAAUCAUUGCUACUGGGUUCAUUGCAAGUACACCUCAAAAUAUUCCCACUACUUUGAAGAGAGAUGGAAGUGACUUUUCAGCUGCCAUACUAGGUGCUCUUGUUAGAGCUCGGCAAGUCACCAUCUGGACUGAUGUUGAUGGUGUAUACAGUGCAGAUCCAAGAAAAGGUUUGACACUUUCCUCGAUUAAACAUGCAUAGGUUCUCAUAACAUGCACAUGCUUUUUAAUCCAUAUAAAGUAUGGCUUCUUUAGUACUUUUGCAAUGUGCAUGUUGUAUCUGUGUUGGAUACUAAAUACCUCCUGCUUCACUUUUACUUUGGAACAUAUAUUUUGCAAUAUUUAUGCUACUGUUUGGUAUGUAUAUAUGGGAAGUGUGCAUCAUCUUUGUGAGUAUAUUGAAUGUUCAAUUCCGGUAACAUAUAUACAUUUUAAAGUUUAAACAUUUCACUUGCUAUGAAGGUGAGUGAUGUCUUUAAUGGUUUCUACAUGCAUUUGAAGUGUUUUGUCAAUGGCGAUUAUUUAUGAAAAUGCUUGUUAUGCUUGUAUAACAUGCUAUCAAUGUUUUUACUUGUUUCAUACUUAAAUCGAUGUUAAACUCAAAUAAUGGAGACAUGUUAGAAAGGGUUUUUAACUGAUACCAAUAGAAUAAUGAAGGUGUAGUUAAAAAUGGAUGGACAAAAAGUUAGGUAGAGCAUAUGUUUUAGAUGCCAUGGAUCUAUUAACAAAGAUUUUUUUCAUGUAAUUGUACGAUACCCCUUGAAUAUAUAUACAUAUACAUGUAUACAUAUAUCUAUGUAUAUGUAUAUAUAUAUAUUUAAAUAUAUACAUAUGUAUAUAUACAUAUAUAUGUGUAUUUAUAUAUACAUAUGUUUAUCUAUAUGUAUAUAUACAUAUAUAUACAUAUAUAUACAUAUAUGUAUAUAUAUGUAUAUAUAUGUAUAUAUAUGUAUAUAUAAAUACACAUAUAUAUGUAUAUAUACAUAUGUAUAUAUUUAAAUAAGCAUGUACUUUGGAAAACAAAAGCAUAUAGGAACGCAAGUGUCAUAUUUUACAUUUCAUUCAUAUCCAAAGAGCAUAUAGGCAUGUAUUUUGGAAAAACAUGUCAAAUGAACAUAAAGGAUGACAUGGGAUAUUGCACUAGAUAUUUGGAUAAUAAAUUAUGCUUCAAUUUAUUCAAGCAAGAUAUUUUUUGAAAGAUAUACAAGCCUACUUUCAGAUGAAACGAGUUUUGUAUAAAUUGGAGUUGUUUAUAGAGAGUUACAAGUGAUCUAGUAUAGAGAGGUGAGAACAUAUUGUCUCUGUUUAGCAGAAUUAAAAGGAUCAACUAAAAUUAACAUUUGGGUCAACAUUUGCAUUCCAAAUCAUUCAAAUAAGGUACUGAAAGAAAGAGAUAAGAGUCUAGUUUCCAAAGAAUUAAGUUUUGUUCAAAUCAAAAUUCUACACAAAACGGUACAGUUAAAACAAGACAGAUAGGUCAGAAUUAUCAUUGAUUCCAGACUAACAAAUUUGCAGCUCAAAUUAAGGUUGAUGCAAAUUAGAAAGGGCAUAACUCUACAAAUUACUCAUAAACAAGAAGAAAUCAAAGAAAAAAAUCACUGUAGGAUGAGCUAGAACACUUGUUUUAGAAAAAGUUAAUCCCCAGGGUGAUGAAAUGGUCCAAAUCCUUAAGCCAAAGCAACACUUCUCUUUCAAUUCUUCUCUUCUCUUCUCUAGUCCAAGAUAGGUUGCAGUAAGAUUCUCAUUUAGUAAAUUUUAUCACUUUUCUUUCUU
This 29571-nucleotide long non-coding RNA is filed under the name Musa acuminata (dwarf banana). RNAcentral describes it as "long non-coding RNA (MACU_LNC002216)". Lineage: Eukaryota; Viridiplantae; Streptophyta; Magnoliopsida; Zingiberales; Musaceae. The record is from RNAcentral.